GUCUCCUCCUCAGCUGCGUCCCGCUGCUGCGUCCCGAGGGCGAGCCUGACCAAGCGCACUAGCCGGGCGGCGGCGGAGGAAACGAAAAGAAAUUGUAUCCAUGAGAUGCCAGAGCGCAAUCUGUUCAGCACCUUCCAAGUCGCCCAGUCUGAGUGUCCAGGGAGUUCAGCCUGUGUUACCCUGGCUGGAUAAGCCUGCCAGAAGAGGUCUCUUCUUGUUUUGUUGAAUCCACCACAGAAAGUAAAAGAGACUCAGAGAACUUUAGGCACCAACUGUGUAAGAGGAAACAAAGAUGUUUUGGAAUCGGGAACACAUAAACACUGCUUGGAACAGACUAAAAUAGUAAUCAUCAGCAUUCUUGUAUGACACAAAUUGGAUACUACGUAAUCUUUCUUUUAUUAAAGAAAAGGUAUUCAGAAGAGUCCUUCAAGCUGAUACUAUGAGCAUCUAGCUACAUUGUUAAGCCUUAAUCCUCAAAAUUAAUGUUCUUGAGUACACUGUUUCAAGAAAGGGAGAGCACAGAAGUACAGUAAAACCUGCUUUGAACUAUUGUUACCUAAUUCACAUUUGAAACCUUAAAUCCCAACAGGAUAACUUUGAAAUAAUUAUUCUCAUUCCAGUGGGGUUAUGCAUACUUUAAAGCAGUGUUUCUAAAACUCCAGGUGUCUUGGACUUCAGCUCCCAGAAAUCCCAGCCAGCUGCUAGGAAUUAUCGUCCAACCACAGUUGCCAUUUCUCAAAUGGGAAUAAGAAAUCCUGGAUCCAACAUGCCUACUCUGAGAGGUACUAAGGAUAGGUACAUUAUUGUUGAUUUUUAUGUUGGUGGGCUGUAAGCAAAGAACUUCAAAUGUCUAAAAUUCCUAUGUACAGAGGUGUUUUAGAUGUGAGGCUUUCGAGCAGCAACUUUUCUACUGUGGUCAUCAUGCCACAGACUAAAUUGAAUUAAAGGCCAAACUAUGUGCAACUUUGCUAAUUUG
Long non-coding RNA from Anolis sagrei ordinatus, 976 nucleotides. RefSeq lists it as uncharacterized. NCBI's taxonomy places the organism in Eukaryota, Metazoa, Chordata, Lepidosauria, Squamata, Anolidae. The record is from RefSeq and is a predicted model, not a curated record.